Passer domesticus (house sparrow) is the source of this 583-nucleotide long non-coding RNA. RefSeq lists it as uncharacterized. NCBI's taxonomy places the organism in Eukaryota, Metazoa, Chordata, Aves, Passeriformes, Passeridae. The record is from RefSeq and is a predicted model, not a curated record. The transcript is spliced from 4 exons.
AUUUGUCAGCACAGCAGUGACACCUGGAUGCUGAUGUUAUUCCCAGUGACACCUGGACGCUGAUGUUAUUCCCAAGCACACAACACAGAGGGUUUCAAGCGGAGCCCCAGCAGCCAAGGGCCAUCACAGCUGUGGCAGGACUGGAAAAAAUAUUGAAAACCUGAAUUUGAGGAAGGACAUGCUGAUCUCUACUUGCUUGUCUGCUCGGUCAGGGACACAAGCCAUUUCACUGGAAAUACAGAAAGUGGAGAAGUUUGCACUCUUUUCAUUAGUGCUUUGGUUUUGUGGUAACCAUUGUAAAAGCAGAGCUCAAAGAGAAGAAGUGACACCUGUGACAGCCCUGGAGUGCCGUGGGACUUCUGUCAGGUGAAGAAAACACAGAACAUCCACUUGCAGAAUUCCUGUACCUCCAAUUUCCCAUGAUUUUCCCUAAUUUAGGUGAUAUCAAAACAAAGUUUAAUCAGAUCCCUGAAAAUGGGAAGCCAGAAAAUGCAGCCCUGUUUGGGGGUGUUGAGUUUCAUUUUACAGCCUCAUUACAGCUAUUAAUUUGUUCUGUUUUGGAAGACUUUACUUGCUCUUGUUG